UACGUAGGGUGCAAGCGUUAAUCGGAAUUACUGGGCGUAAAGCGUGCGCAGGCGGUUAUGUAAGACAGUUGUGAAAUCCCCGGGCUCAACCUGGGAACUGCAUCUGUGACUGCAUAGCUAGAGUACGGUAGAGGGGGAUGGAAUUCCGCGUGUAGCAGUGAAAUGCGUAGAUAUGCGGAGGAACACCGAUGGCGAAGGCAAUCCCCUGGACCUGUACUGACGCCCAUGCACGAAAGCGUGGGGAGCAAACAGG
RNAcentral lists this ribosomal RNA (253 nucleotides) under uncultured bacterium. Its description in RNAcentral is "partial 16S ribosomal RNA". It matches the Rfam family "Bacterial small subunit ribosomal RNA", at positions 524 to 776 of the family's 1533-position model. The record is from RNAcentral.